RNAcentral lists this ribosomal RNA (478 nucleotides) under uncultured organism. Its description in RNAcentral is "bacterial SSU rRNA". It matches the Rfam family "Bacterial small subunit ribosomal RNA", at positions 28 to 507 of the family's 1533-position model. The record is from RNAcentral.
GAUGAACGCUAGCGGCAGGCCUAACACAUGCAAGUCGAGGGGUAGAACAUUUCGGUGUUUGAGACCGGCGCACGGGUGCGUAACGCGUAUGCAAUCUGCCUUGUACAGAGGGAUAGCCCAGAGAAAUUUGGAUUAAUACCUCAUAGUAUAAUUGAAUGGCAUCAUUUGAUUAUUAAAGUUCCAACGGUACAAGAUGAGCAUGCGUCCCAUUAGUUAGUUGGUGUGGUAACGGCACACCAAGACGAUGAUGGGUAGGGGUCCUGAGAGGGAGAUCCCCCACACUGGUACUGAGACACGGACCAGACUCCUACGGGAGGCAGCAGUGAGGAAUAUUGGUCAAUGGAGGCAACUCUGAACCAGCCAUGCCGCGUGCAGGAAGAAGGUUCUAUGGAUCGUAAACUGCUUUUGUACAGGAAGAAAUUAUCCCUCGUGAGGGAGCUUGACAGUACUGUAAGAAUAAGGAUCGGCUAACUCCGUG